AUUUUCCCACGGAGUAAGAACCAGAACGCCAGCUGCCCCAGCGGCGCUCGCACCAUCCACCCUUGAAAUUGCCGUAGAAGGCAAGACUAUACAGUGCCCAGAGAAAGCAGGCUCUGGCCAGGCGUGGUGGCUCACACCUGUAAUCUCAGAACACUGGGAGGCCAAGGCGGGAAGAUCCCUUGAGACCAGGAGUUUGAGACCAGCGUGAAUAAGAUGGUGAGACCCCGUCUCUACAAAAAGUAAAAAAAUUAGCUGGC
This 257-nucleotide long non-coding RNA is filed under the name Homo sapiens (human). Its description in RNAcentral is "non-protein coding RRS1-AS1:4". Lineage: Eukaryota; Metazoa; Chordata; Mammalia; Primates; Hominidae. The record is from RNAcentral.